AACACGUGGGCAACCUGCCUGUAAGUUGGGGAUAACUCCGGGAAACCGGGGCUAAUACCGAAUGAUAAAGUGUGGCGCAUGCCACGCUUUUGAAAGAUGGUUUCGGCUAUCGCUUACAGAUGGGCCCGCGGUGCAUUAGCUAGUUGGUAGGGUAAUGGCCUACCAAGGCAACGAUGCAUAGCCGACCUGAGAGGGUGAUCGGCCACACUGGGACUGAGACACGGCCCAGACUCCUACGGGAGGCAGCAGUAGGGAAUCUUCCGCAAUGGACGAAAGUCUGACGGAGCAACGCCGCGUGUAUGAAGAAGGUUUUCGGAUCGUAAAGUACUGUUGUUAGAGAAGAACAAGGAUAAGAGUAACUGCUUGUCCCUUGACGGUAUCUAACCAGAAAGCCACGGCUAACUACGUGCCAGCAGCCGCGGUAAUACGUAGGUGGCAAGCGUUGUCCGGAUUUAUUGGGCGUAAAGCGCGCGCAGGCGGUCUUUUAAGUCUGAUGUGAAAGCCCCCGGCUUAACCGGGGAGGGUCAUUGGAAACUGGAAGACUGGAGUGC
Molecule: ribosomal RNA, 551 nt
Filed under: Listeria monocytogenes
Lineage: Bacteria; Bacillati; Bacillota; Bacilli; Caryophanales; Listeriaceae
Description: bacterial SSU rRNA
Rfam family: Bacterial small subunit ribosomal RNA
Source: RNAcentral